RNAcentral lists this ribosomal RNA (629 nucleotides) under uncultured Bacteroidales bacterium. RNAcentral's name for it is "bacterial SSU rRNA". It matches the Rfam family "Bacterial small subunit ribosomal RNA", at positions 82 to 709 of the family's 1533-position model. The record is from RNAcentral. Lineage: Bacteria; Pseudomonadati; Bacteroidota; Bacteroidia; Bacteroidales.
AGGCCGAUGGCGACCGGCGCACGGGUGAGUAACACGUAUCCAACCUGCCGUCUACUCUUGGACAGCCUUCUGAAAGGAAGAUUAAUACAAGAUGGCAUCAUGAGUCCGCAUGUUCACAUGAUUAAAGGUAUUCCGGUAGACGAUGGGGAUGCGUUCCAUUAGAUAGUAGGCGGGGUAACGGCCCACCUAGUCUUCGAUGGAUAGGGGUUCUGAGAGGAAGGUCCCCCACAUUGGAACUGAGACACGGUCCAAACUCCUACGGGAGGCAGCAGUGAGGAAUAUUGGUCAAUGGGCGCAGGCCUGAACCAGCCAAGUAGCGUGAAGGAUGACUGCCCUAUGGGUUGUAAACUUCUUUUAUAAAGGAAUAAAGUCGGGUAUGUAUACCCGUUUGCAUGUACUUUAUGAAUAAGGAUCGGCUAACUCCGUGCCAGCAGCCGCGGUAAUACGGAGGAUCCGAGCGUUAUCCGGAUUUAUUGGGUUUAAAGGGAGCGUAGAUGGAUGUUUAAGUCAGUUGUGAAAGUUUGCGGCUCAACCGUAAAAUUGCAGUUGAUACUGGAUAUCUUGAGUGCAGUUGAGGCAGGCGGAAUUCGUGGUGUAGCGGUGAAAUGCUUAGAUAUCACGAAGAACUC